AGGACGAACGCUGGCGGCGUGCUUAACACAUGCAAGUCGAACGGUAAGGCCCUUCGGGGGUACACGAGUGGCGAACGGGUGAGUAACACGUGGGUGACCUGCCCCUUACUCUGGGAUAAGCCUGGGAAACUGGGUCUAAUACCGGAUAGGACUUCAUGCUGCAUGGUGUGGGGUUGAAAGUUUUUCGGUGGGGGAUGGGCCCGCGGCCUAUCAGCUUGUUGGUGGGGUGAUGGCCUACCAAGGCUUCGACGGGUAG
Molecule: ribosomal RNA, 256 nt
Filed under: uncultured bacterium
Lineage: Bacteria
Description: partial small subunit ribosomal RNA
Rfam family: Bacterial small subunit ribosomal RNA
Source: RNAcentral